GAUGAACGCUGGCGGCGUGCUUAACACAUGCAAGUCGAACGGGAAACCUUUUAUUGAAGCUUCGGCAGAUUUAGCUGGUUUCUAGUGGCGGACGGGUGAGUAACGCGUGGGUAACCUGCCCUAUACAGGGGGAUAACAACCAGAAAUGGUUGCUAAUACCGCAUAAGCGCACAGGGCCGCAUGGUCCGGUGUGAGAAACUCCGGUGGUAUAGGAUGGACCCGCGUUGGAUUAGCCAGUUGGCAGGGUAACGGCCUACCAAAGCGACGAUCCAUAGCCGGCCUGAGAGGGUGAACGGCCACAUUGGGACUGAGACACGGCCCAGACUCCUACGGGAGGCAGCAGUGGGGAAUAUUGCACAAUGGGGGAAACCCUGAUGCAGCGACGCCGCGUGAAGGAAGAAGUAUCUCGGUAUGUAAACUUCUAUCAGCAGGGAAGAUAGUGACGGUACCUGACUAAGAAGCCCCGGCUAACUACGUG
This 478-nucleotide ribosomal RNA is filed under the name uncultured bacterium. RNAcentral describes it as "partial 16S ribosomal RNA". It matches the Rfam family "Bacterial small subunit ribosomal RNA", at positions 28 to 507 of the family's 1533-position model. The record is from RNAcentral.